Rattus norvegicus (Norway rat) is the source of this 95-nucleotide small nuclear RNA. The record is from Ensembl. NCBI's taxonomy places the organism in Eukaryota, Metazoa, Chordata, Mammalia, Rodentia, Muridae.
GUGCUCGCACAUAUACUAAAAUUAGAACGAUACAGAGAUUAGUAUGGCGACUGCACAAGGAUCGCACACAAAUUCGUGAAGCGUUCCAUAUUUUG